GUUGGAUCAGCUUCUGAUUUCAUGUUGGAGUAUUUUACAACAUUCAUGUUUUCUGUCUUUGCAUUUCUUUUGGUAAAGUAUUUACAAAGAACUGUAAAAUGCUUAACACUCAGAUUGCUUAGCAAGAUCAACACCUCUACACUGAAUCACAUGUCAAUAUUGCCAAUAUCAGGAUUUAUUUUGCUUCCAAAAUUUUUUGUUUCUUGGAACACUACCGUGGGAGACUCGAAUUGGCCCCCAAACAUAUCUCUCUUUGGCAUGAGGAUUAUUUUGGGCUGGUUACUUUUAAAAACUGCAGACAGGAGAGAAACUCUGAAAAGUACACUUUAACCCUUUGUAAAGAGACAAUUACAUUUGUAAAGGAAAUCUCUAUCUGUAAAGGUGUCUCCCUCUCUGUACCAGGAAGAAGGGGGAUGACCUUAUCUCUAGAAACUCUUAUCAAUACAGAAGGCAAGAACUUAAAUCUGCAUAAAACCUUAUUCUUGUUUACUGUGCUUUUCUGGUAAUCUUCCAUAGCUGACUCCCCCCUCCCCCAACAUCCUCCUUUGUCUUUAGCUGAGGGUGAUAUUUAAGGUGAGAGUUUCUGCCAUUUUGGCAACUUACUCAGUGUUUCCGGGUCUCUCCUAUGCAUACAUGUUAUAAAGCUUUGUUUGAUUUUCUCCUGUUAUUCUGUCUCAUGUGAAUUUAAUUCAUUGUCUGGCCAGAAGGACCUAGAGCAGGUAGAGGAAAUGUCUUCCUCUCCCACAGUUUGGCUACUUGGAUGGGAUAAAAUUUCACUGGCUGGACACUUCUUGCUCCUGGACUGCUGCAGCCCAGAGAUCCUGGACCCCUGAUGAGAGCCAGCAAGAGCUCGCCAAGCCCUCAUCAUUUCUUCUGGUAGCCUGUAUGGGCAUCUUGCUUCACUGGCUUGUGAGCUGGAGUUCUAGAAGAUUAGCCCUGAACUAACAUCCAUGCCUGUCUUCCUCCACUUUAUAUGUGGGAUGCCUACCACAGCAUGGCUUGCCAAGCUGUGCCAUGUCCAUGCCUGGGAUCCGUACUGGUGAACGCUGGGCAGCCGAAGUGGAAUGUGUGAACUUAACCACUGAGCCACCGGGCCAGCCCAAGAUUCAUGACAGUAAUUUUUAAAACAAUAGCUGUGGAGACUGUGUAUGUGUGUCUCUAUGUGUGUUAUAUAUGUUUGGUAUUUUACCUCUGGAUGGUAUGGCCAAAAUUAAGAGCUCUGUUUAUUUGGCUUAAAGUAAGCACUUACAUAAAUUCUAAUGUAAUAAAAAUUAACCCAGUGUCUUUUAAGUUAAUAUGAUAUAGAUUAAUCUUUGGUUAAUGAAAGUUUAAGUUUGUUGGUUUGAUUGAAAAGGCAUAUCCUCAAGAGUUGUCAGUAUUUGAAUAUGCUG
This 1391-nucleotide long non-coding RNA is filed under the name Equus caballus (horse). RNAcentral describes it as "lncRNA (ENSECAG00000059559.1)". Lineage: Eukaryota; Metazoa; Chordata; Mammalia; Perissodactyla; Equidae. The record is from RNAcentral.